This is a long non-coding RNA of Erigeron canadensis, 1010 nucleotides long. RefSeq lists it as uncharacterized. The transcript has 7 exons. NCBI's taxonomy places the organism in Eukaryota, Viridiplantae, Streptophyta, Magnoliopsida, Asterales, Asteraceae. The record is from RefSeq and is a predicted model, not a curated record.
UCUUUUUCCAGAAUCUUCAUUACCGAAGUGAUGAGGAUAUAUUUAAGACUACAAAGCAUAUAGUUUGAAAAUUGAAACUAUUCCAGCCACAUUGGUAAUUUGGAAAGUUUGAAUGUCUGAUCAUAUUCCAGAUAAAUUUUUUUUAUAAAGCUUAAGUACUUGCUGUCCAAUGCAACAGGUUCCAGGUGCAAAUAUUGUGAAGAGUGGCUCUAACACUUUUGCCGUUUAUCCCAUAUCCAACACAGACGAACGUUAGCUGGUCUAUCAAAAGAAGAUAUAUGAACAGCUAGACCUGCUCAUGAGCUACUCUUUAUGUGAAUGCUAUCUACGAGCUGGAACUCGAUCUCAUUACGAUGACACAUUAGGCAAAACGUCUGAUUGAACUAUUAAAGCAUCCAAGUUUUCAAAUCAAAGCUUCUAUUCGUCAUGCGUAUACAGGGAUCUGUCAUCAAAGAUUGUUCUUCUUCACGUCUUAUGUAUGUUUUGUGUACUAUUUAUGUUCUCCGAUUCUUUUUGUAAAACUAGACUGAGCCGAUUCUUUAGUGGUGUUUUUGUCAAGGCAAACGAGAGGAUAUUGAAAAUUCUACAGGAAGUGGAGCCGUAUGUGACUUAUGGGUAUCCUGACCUCAACAGUGUCAGCUGAUAUACGGUAAGCCGGUAAGGGAUUGGCAAAGGUUAACAACCAAAUGCAUCCUCAGACGGACAAUAACAUUAUUGAAAAAGAUUGAAUGCUCUUAUUACUGAAUACUGCUGAAAAACCGUUUUUUAGCAAGGUACAUAAAAUUCAGCUUUAUUCCCUGUGUAAAUUUAGAGAUGCAUAUGUUACUCUAAAAAAUUAGUUUUCAUAUGAUGAGAAGGACCCCACAUCUUUUGCAUUACACUAAGUGAGAUUAAUUCCAUGAUGAAUAUUUGAAAGUCAAUGCAAAGAAAUGCCAUCAUGAAGCCUUUUAUCAACUUAUUUCGUAUGUUUUUGACUGAAAUUUGAUGGUAUUUAACCUUAGUUGAUUAAA